GAAGGUAUUAUGGUAUGCGUUGAAGUAUCUAGCGUGAGCUGAUAUGGAGCUUCCAUAAGCUCAGAUCUUGGUGGUAGUAGCAAAUAUUCGAAUGAGAUCUUGGAUGGCUGAAGUGGAGAAGGUUUUCGUGUCAA
Molecule: ribosomal RNA, 134 nt
Organism: Clunio marinus
Lineage: Eukaryota; Metazoa; Arthropoda; Insecta; Diptera; Chironomidae
Rfam family: Eukaryotic large subunit ribosomal RNA
Source: Rfam